UCCGGUGACUAUAGCGCAGGGGAAACACCCGAUCCCUUUCCGAACUCGGAAGUUAAGCCCUGCUGCGCCGAUGGUACUGUCCGCUUACGCAGGAUGGGAGAGUAGGUCGUCGCCGGAG
Molecule: ribosomal RNA, 118 nt
Filed under: Fidelibacterota bacterium
Lineage: Bacteria; Pseudomonadati; Fidelibacterota
Source: RNAcentral